Long non-coding RNA from Clupea harengus (Atlantic herring), 1083 nucleotides. NCBI's taxonomy places the organism in Eukaryota, Metazoa, Chordata, Actinopteri, Clupeiformes, Clupeidae. The record is from Ensembl.
AGCCUGCAGUGGUGUUUUACACGCCAGAGCAGUGAUGAGAGUGCAGAGUGUCCCCAGCAUGUUGUCAGAGUGUGGUGUGAACGCCUCUUACUGUCCAGCAGAGAGAUGACCAGAGGUGGAGUGUGAGGAGAGGAGAGACUGCAGGACCCUCCUAUAAGGAGCCAGGCAGCUUUUGAGGAAAGAGGCCCUCAGAAAUCAACCAAUCACGUUUAUUUACAAAAAAGAAAUGCAAAAUUACCGUUUUACCACUGAGAUUUGUUUACCAGUUUACAGUUACCAGAUAUCAGAGAUCAAAUGCAAUGAGUGAUGUCUUUUUUGCAAAGGAUGUCCAAGAGAAAACACACACAAAAAUACAUUAGCAUGAAAACAUUUCGCAUCUGAUAGUUAGUUACUUUUACAAAGACAUCAACUGGGUGUUCAGCAGAGAAAUAGUGUCACCCUCAUGGCUGUGUUGAAGAUGAAUAUGGUUGGUACAUGUUUGUCUGGUAGGGUGACAUAACCAAGCAUUUCAAUACUUUUACUGCAAUAAUAGAUGGUUAGAUGAAGUGAAAUCAAAAUAAUAUUGAUAUAUUUACGGUAUGUCCACAUUACCUAAAGAGAUCUCAUAUUCAGGAGAACCUCAUCAAGGCUAAGGGUGUCUGAGGGGAGGGAGAGGGCAUGUCACUCACAGGGAAGACUUGGGGGGACGGAUGUGAUGGGAGAAGGGGACGAGCUGAACAUACUUGUGUUGAGAAUUAGCAGCUCUGUUGCGUCAUCUUACUAAAGUAAGAAUGUCUUAGACUUUCAUUUGAUUUUUGAAUAAUUUAGUAGCCGAGGUCAUACUGGUGUACAUGUCGAAGAGUAGCAGAAUUAACCUAUAGUAAUAAGAGGAAAACACAUGCAUUUAUUGCAGGCAAACUAAACGUUAAGUUGAAUUCACUGUUAUACAGCCAUAUUGCCACAGGAGGCAGUAUUGUCCACCGGAAGCCUGCAGAUGUCUCCAUGACAGAGGAAUUCAAAAUGCAGUUAAAUUCUGACGAUAUCUUUCUAUGUCUAUCUGUAUAAAGCAUUUGAAGAAUGUUCAACUACUUGUUUCCAAUGUCA